This 414-nucleotide ribosomal RNA is filed under the name uncultured bacterium. Its description in RNAcentral is "bacterial SSU rRNA". It matches the Rfam family "Bacterial small subunit ribosomal RNA", at positions 355 to 786 of the family's 1533-position model. The record is from RNAcentral.
UGGGGAAUAUUGCACAAUGGGGGAAGCCCUGAUGCAGCAACGCCGCGUGGGUGAAGAAGUAUUUCGGUAUGUAAAGCCCUAUCAGCAGGGAAGAAAAUGACGGUACCUGACUAAGAAGCUCCGGCUAAAUACGUGCCAGCAGCCGCGGUAAUACGUAUGGAGCAAGCGUUAUCCGGAUUUACUGGGUGUAAAGGGAGCGCAGGCGGCGCGGCAAGUCAGAUGUGAAAGCCCGGGGCUCAACCCCGGGACUGCAUUUGAAACUGCCGUGCUGGAGUGUCGGAGAGGCAAGUGGAAUUCCUAGUGUAGCGGUGAAAUGCGUAGAUAUUAGGAGGAACACCAGUGGCGAAGGCGGCUUGCUGGACGAUAACUGACGCUGAGGCUCGAAAGCGUGGGGAGCAAACAGGAUUAGAUACC